GAUUAAGUUAUUAAGGGCGCACGGUGGAUGCCUUGGCACUAGAAGCCGAUGAAGGACGUUACUAACGACGAUAUGCUUUGGGGAGCUGUAAGUAAGCUUUGAUCCAGAGAUUUCCGAAUGGGGAAACCCAGCAUGAGUUAUGUCAUGUUAUCGAUAUGUGAAUACAUAGCAUAUCAGAAGGCACACCCGGAGAACUGAAACAUCUUAGUACCCGGAGGAAGAGAAAGAAAAUUCGAUUCCCUUAGUAGCGGCGAGCGAAACGGGAAGAGCCCAAACCAACAAGCUUGCUUGUUGGGGUUGUAGGACACUCUAUACGGAGUUACAAAGGACGACAUUAGACGAAUCAUCUGGAAAGAUGAAUCAAAGAAGGUAAUAAUCCUGUAGUCGAAAAUGUUGUCUCUCUUGAGUGGAUCCUGAGUACGACGGAGCACGUGAAAUUCCGUCGGAAUCUGGGAGGACCAUCUCCUAAGGCUAAAUACUCUCUAGUGACCGAUAGUGAACCAGUACCGUGAGGGAAAGGUGAAAAGCACCCCGGAAGGGGAGUGAAAUAGAACCUGAAACCGUGUGCUUACAAGUAGUCAGAGCCCGUUAAUGGGUGAUGGCGUGCCUUUUGUAGAAUGAACCGGCGAGUUACGAUUUGAUGCAAGGUUAAGCAGUAAAUGUGGAGCCGUAGCGAAAGCGAGUCUGAAUAGGGCGUUUAGUAUUUGGUCGUAGACCCGAAACCAGGUGAUCUACCCUUGGUCAGGUUGAAGUUCAGGUAACACUGAAUGGAGGACCGAACCGACUUACGUUGAAAAGUGAGCGGAUGAACUGAGGGUAGCGGAGAAAUUCCAAUCGAACCUGGAGAUAGCUGGUUCUCUCCGAAAUAGCUUUAGGGCUAGCCUCAAGUGAUGAUUAUUGGAGGUAGAGCACUGUUUGGACGAGGGGCCCCUCUCGGGUUACCGAAUUCAGACAAACUCCGAAUGCCAAUUAAUUUAACUUGGGAGUCAGAACAUGGGUGAUAAGGUCCGUGUUCGAAAGGGAAACAGCCCAGACCACCAGCUAAGGUCCCAAAAUAUAUGUUAAGUGGAAAAGGAUGUGGCGUUGCCCAGACAACUAGGAUGUUGGCUUAGAAGCAGCCAUCAUUUAAAGAGUGCGUAAUAGCUCACUAGUCGAGUGACACUGCGCCGAAAAUGUACCGGGGCUAAACAUAUUACCGAAGCUGUGGAUUGUCCUUUGGACAAUGGUAGGAGAGCGUUCUAAGGGCGUUGAAGCAUGAUCGUAAGAACAUGUGGAGCGCUUAGAAGUGAGAAUGCCGGUGUGAGUAGCGAAAGACGGGUGAGAAUCCCGUCCACCGAUUGACUAAGGUUUCCAGAGGAAGGCUCGUCCGCUCUGGGUUAGUCGGGUCCUAAGCUGAGGCCGACAGGCGUAGGCGAUGGAUAACAGGUUGAUAUUCCUGUACCACCUAUAAUCGUUUUAAUCGAUGGGGGGACGCAGUAGGAUAGGCGAAGCGUGCGAUUGGAUUGCACGUCUAAGCAGUAAGGCUGAGUAUUAGGCAAAUCCGGUACUCGUUAAGGCUGAGCUGUGAUGGGGAGAAGACAUUGUGUCUUCGAGUCGUUGAUUUCACACUGCCGAGAAAAGCCUCUAGAUAGAAAAUAGGUGCCCGUACCGCAAACCGACACAGGUAGUCAAGAUGAGAAUUCUAAGGUGAGCGAGCGAACUCUCGUUAAGGAACUCGGCAAAAUGACCCCGUAACUUCGGGAGAAGGGGUGCUCUUUAGGGUUAACGCCCAGAAGAGCCGCAGUGAAUAGGCCCAAGCGACUGUUUAUCAAAAACACAGGUCUCUGCUAAACCGUAAGGUGAUGUAUAGGGGCUGACGCCUGCCCGGUGCUGGAAGGUUAAGAGGAGUGGUUAGCUUCUGCGAAGCUACGAAUCGAAGCCCCAGUAAACGGCGGCCGUAACUAUAACGGUCCUAAGGUAGCGAAAUUCCUUGUCGGGUAAGUUCCGACCCGCACGAAAGGCGUAACGAUUUGGGCACUGUCUCAACGAGAGACUCGGUGAAAUCAUAGUACCUGUGAAGAUGCAGGUUACCCGCGACAGGACGGAAAGACCCCGUGGAGCUUUACUGUAGCCUGAUAUUGAAAUUCGGCACAGCUUGUACAGGAUAGGUAGGAGCCUUUGAAACGUGAGCGCUAGCUUACGUGGAGGCGCUGGUGGGAUACUACCCUAGCUGUGUUGGCUUUCUAACCCGCACCACUUAUCGUGGUGGGAGACAGUGUCAGGCGGGCAGUUUGACUGGGGCGGUCGCCUCCUAAAAGGUAACGGAGGCGCUCAAAGGUUCCCUCAGAAUGGUUGGAAAUCAUUCAUAGAGUGUAAAGGCAUAAGGGAGCUUGACUGCGAGACCUACAAGUCGAGCAGGGUCGAAAGACGGACUUAGUGAUCCGGUGGUUCCGCAUGGAAGGGCCAUCGCUCAACGGAUAAAAGCUACCCCGGGGAUAACAGGCUUAUCUCCCCCAAGAGUUCACAUCGACGGGGAGGUUUGGCACCUCGAUGUCGGCUCAUCGCAUCCUGGGGCUGUAGUCGGUCCCAAGGGUUGGGCUGUUCGCCCAUUAAAGCGGUACGCGAGCUGGGUUCAGAACGUCGUGAGACAGUUCGGUCCCUAUCCGUCGUGGGCGUAGGAAAUUUGAGAUGAGCUGUCCUUAGUACGAGAGGACCGGGAUGGACAUACCUCUGGUGUACCAGUUGUCGUGCCAACGGCAUAGCUGGGUAGCUAUGUGUGGACGGGAUAAGUGCUGAAAGCAUCUAAGCAUGAAGCCCCCCUCAAGAUGAGAUUUCCCAACUUCGGUUAUAAGAUCCCUUAAAGAUGAUGAGGUUAAUAGGUUCGAGGUGGAAGCAUGGUGACAUGUGUAGCUGACGAAUACUAAUCGAUCGAAGACUUAAUCAA
This 2923-nucleotide ribosomal RNA is filed under the name Staphylococcus aureus. RNAcentral's name for it is "23S ribosomal RNA". It matches the Rfam family "Bacterial large subunit ribosomal RNA". Lineage: Bacteria; Bacillati; Bacillota; Bacilli; Caryophanales; Staphylococcaceae. The record is from RNAcentral.